Long non-coding RNA from Colius striatus (speckled mousebird), 267 nucleotides. RefSeq lists it as uncharacterized. The record is from RefSeq and is a predicted model, not a curated record. The transcript has 3 exons. Lineage: Eukaryota; Metazoa; Chordata; Aves; Coliiformes; Coliidae.
CCCGCCCGCCCUCGGGCCUGGGGCUGGGCCUGCAGCGCCGCCCAGCCAGGAUCCCCAAGCCCCUGCCCCAGGGCAGGGGCGAGGCCGGCCAACUGACAGAACCUCAAGGGCUGGAAGGGACCUCAGAAGAUCACGUAGUCCAACCCCCCUGCCAGAGCAGCACCACCUGGAGUAGGUGAGACGAACUCAUCCAGCUUAUACCCAUUGCCCCUUAUCCUGUCAUUGGACAUCACUGAGAACAGCCUGGAUCCAUCCUCCUGACACCCG